This is a non-coding RNA of Manis javanica (Malayan pangolin), 588 nucleotides long. Lineage: Eukaryota; Metazoa; Chordata; Mammalia; Pholidota; Manidae. The record is from RefSeq and is a predicted model, not a curated record.
GGCAGCAGUUUUUUCCUGCUUCUAAAAUCGAACUGAAGCAUAGUUUCUUUCUAGGUCUUGAGCCUGCUGGCCUGACUGGAAUCACACCAUAAACUCUCCUGGAUCUGGGAACUUGUCAGCUUCCAUAACUUGAUCUUAAAAUGGUCAUAGCAAGAAAGGGUGAGAAGAUACACAACUGCUGGAAUGCUCAUAAGGCAAAGGUGGAUUACUGAAGCAUCUUCUCAGUUGUAUGAUAACGAAGAACUGAGAGUAGCUGGGACUCCCUCUCUCUUGAUCUGUCACACAGCAGCUUGGUAUGCUGGAGACAGCCCGGGCAGUUGAGCUGCAGACUUGGCAAAGAAGGAAAUGACCCAGAUGCUGGAUGGAAGUGUGUGACGGACUGACAGACAGGUAAAAUUUUCUCCAUCUAAGGAGAUGAUGUCACCACCUUUGUUGGCUCAACCCAUUUGUAUAGUUAACCAUCCUUGAUUCUUCAUUUUCCUUUACCACCACUCCAGCAAGUCUAGUAGAUCUGUUUCUAAAAUAUAUCUGUUCACUUGUCCAUUUCCAUGGCUACCAACUUUAUUCUAAAGAUGUCAUCUCUCAUGU